RNAcentral lists this long non-coding RNA (397 nucleotides) under Rattus norvegicus (Norway rat). RNAcentral's name for it is "long non-coding RNA NONRATT016117". Lineage: Eukaryota; Metazoa; Chordata; Mammalia; Rodentia; Muridae. The record is from RNAcentral.
ACAAAAGAGCGGUUUGGAUUGGGACAUCAGCUGAAAAAAAUCAUGCAGACAUUUGUUUCUCAGCAGUGGAAACAGAGCAAAGAAAAGUCCAAUUGCCCGCACGGUCGCCCAGCUAUCCUCCCCCUGGAUGUGGCAAAAGCAAAUCCAAACUGAAACCCGAACAAGACGGCAUCUCCAAAACUCAUAAGCUGCUGCGGAGGACUUGCUCCAGUACCGUCAAAGCUGACGAUAUGUGUGCCAAGUCGCACAGGACUUUUGGGCGCUCGCUGUCCAGUGAUCCCAGGGCCGAGCAGGCGAUGUCCACCAUUAAAUCGCACAAACUUUUGGGCCGGCCCUGUUCCGCAGCCAGCAAGCAGGAGGACUGCCUCACACUAAAGUCCCAUAAGUUAUUGACUCG